Molecule: ribosomal RNA, 844 nt
Filed under: uncultured bacterium
Lineage: Bacteria
Description: bacterial SSU rRNA
Rfam family: Bacterial small subunit ribosomal RNA
Source: RNAcentral
AACGCUGGCGGCGUGCCUAACACAUGCAAGUCGGAUGUGCCGCAAGGUGCAUGGCAGACGGGUGAGUAACGCGUGGGGAAUCUACCUUUUUGUGGGGAAUAACGCUCCGAAAGGAGUGGUAAUACCGCAUGAGACCGCGGGCUGGGAUGCCUGUGGUGAAACCUGGGGACCGUAAGGCCUGGGGCAAAAAGAGGAUCCUGCGUCUGAUUAGCUAGUUGGCGGGGUAAUGGCCCACCAAGGCGACGAUCAGUAGCCGGCCUGAGAGGGUGAUCGGCCACACUGGAACUGAGACACGGUCCAGACUCCUACGGGAGGCAGCAGUGGGGAAUUUUGCGCAAUGGACGAGAGUCUGACGCAGCAACGCCGCGUGGGUGAUGAAGGUCUUCGGACUGUAAAACCCUGUCGUCAGGGACGAAGGUGGCGGAGUUAAUAGCUCCGUUACUUGACGGUACCUGGAGAGGAAGCCCCGGCUAACUCUGUGCCAGCAGCCGCGGUAAUACAGAGGGGGCAAGCGUUAUUCGGAAUUAUUGGGCGUAAAGGGCGCGUAGGCGGUUUUUUAAGUCAGAUGUGUAAGCCCCGGGCUCAACCUGGGAACUGCAUCUGAGACUGGAAGGCUAGAGUACUGGAGAGGGUGGUGGAAUUCCUCGUGUAGCGGUGAAAUGCGUAGAGAUGAGGAGGAACACCAGUGGCGAAGGCGGCCACCUGGACAGUAACUGACGCUGAGGCGCGAAAGUGUGGGUAGCAAACAGGAUUAGAUACCCUGGUAGUCCACGCUGUAAACGAUGAACACUUGGUGUGGUGGGAGUUGACCCCUGCCGUGCCGGAGCUAACGCGUUAAGUGUCC